This is an RNA transcript of Grammomys surdaster, 514 nucleotides long. It is a transcript of the gene named 28S ribosomal protein S17, mitochondrial pseudogene, with no coding region annotated. The record is from RefSeq and is a predicted model, not a curated record. The transcript has a single exon. Lineage: Eukaryota; Metazoa; Chordata; Mammalia; Rodentia; Muridae.
ACAGACACAUAAUGUCAAUAGUCCGUUCAUCUGUCCACGCCAAAUGGGUUGUGGGGAAGGUGACUGGUACAGCAAUGGUAAAAACUGCUAAAGUAAGAGCGACCAGACUCGUGUUGGAUCCCUACUUACUGAAGUACUUUAAUAAGCGGAAAACCUACUUUGCUCACGAUGCCCUUCAGCAAUGCAGCGUUGGGGACAUCGUGCUCCUCAGAGCUUUGCCCGUCCCACGAUCAAAGCAUGUGAAACAUGAACUGGCUGAGAUCAUCUUCAAAGUCGGUGGAGUUAUCGACCCAGUCACAGGAAAGCCCUGUGCAGGAACCGCCUACCUAGAGAGACCCCUAGUUUCAGAAUCCACUCCCCUCAGCGAAACUCGGGAAGAGCUCAAGGUCUCCUGAACCUAGGGAAGAAGGAGCCAGAGGGAUUUCUGUCUCUGCGUUUGCUCAAUGGCUUUCAUUACUGUCCAGUUUCUCCUGUGACAUCAGACGUAGUAAGCAAAGUAAAGAGCUUAGUGUUC